This 253-nucleotide ribosomal RNA is filed under the name uncultured bacterium. RNAcentral's name for it is "partial 16S ribosomal RNA". It matches the Rfam family "Bacterial small subunit ribosomal RNA", at positions 524 to 776 of the family's 1533-position model. The record is from RNAcentral.
UACAGAGGUCCCGAGCGUUGUUCGGAUUCACUGGGCGUAAAGGGUGCGUAGGUGGCGUGGUAAGUUUGAUGUGAAAGCUCAGGGCUUAACCCUGAAAUGGCAUUGAAUACUACUGUGCUGGAGGUUUGGAGGGGGGACUGGAAUUCUUGGUGUAGCAGUGAAAUGCGUAGAUAUCAAGAGGAACACCAGUGGCGGAGGCGAGUCCCUGGACAUUUCCUGACGCUGAGGCACGAAAGCCAGGGGAGCAAACGGG